Molecule: unclassified non-coding RNA, 520 nt
Filed under: uncultured Archaeospora
Lineage: Eukaryota; Fungi; Glomeromycota; Glomeromycetes; Archaeosporales; Archaeosporaceae
Description: SSU rRNA
Rfam family: Eukaryotic small subunit ribosomal RNA
Source: RNAcentral
AGCAGCCGCGGUAAUUCCAGCCCCAAUAGCGUAUAUUAAAGUUGUUGCAGUUAGAAAGCUCGUAGUUGAAUUUUGGAUUCUGCCAAUUGGUCCAUCUUUUAGAUGAGUACUGGUUGUGUGGGGUCUAUCCGCCUGGUGAUACGUAAUGUCCUUUAUUGGAUGUUGCGGGUAGUCAGGACCUUUACCUUGAAAAAUUAGAGUGUUUAAAGCAGGCUUAUGCCGGAAUACAUUAGCAUGGAAUAAUAGAAUAGGACGAAGUUGUUUUAUUUUGUUGGUUUCUAGGACAACCGUAAUGAUUAAUAGGGAUAGUUGGGGGCAUUAGUAUUCAAUUGUCAGAGGUGAAAUUCUUGGAUUUAUUGAAGACUAACUACUGCGAAAGCAUUUGCCAAGGAUGUUUUCAUUAAUCAAGAACGAAAGUUAGGGGAUCGAAGACGAUCAGAUACCGUCGUAGUCUUAACCAUAAACUAUGCCGACUAGGGAUCGGGCGAUGUUGUUUCCAUGACUCGCUCGGCACCUUAGU